AGAAACAACAAGCAGCACCAGUCCUUUUGAUCAUUGUUUUACAUAAUGAUAGAUAUCCACACCAAAGAUCAUGUGAAACAUUACUUGGUUUCCACCCCCACCCAAGAUUUUCACUCUGUUAAGAAGAAUUUCCAACUUUCAAAACCUUUCCAGAAGAACAUCUGCUGCACCAUCAUAUCUGGAUUCCCCCCAAUUAGAAUAUUCCUCACCAUAUUUUUGCUGCAACUGUCCUUGAUAAGUAUUGCAUAGGUCCAAACAUCUGAAUCCUUUGUAGCCCCAUUCAUCAUAGAAGUUUGUCCUAAUCUCUAAACAUCAACAGCUUUACACCCCAGAAAAGGCAGCUUAGACCUUGGAAAAUAAAUUUCAAAAUACUACCAGAAAUACUAGGAGCUCUUUGAAACAUUCAACUUACAAUUUGAUUUGGUGUUGUGCAGGAGUUCCUUAGGCGUGAAAGCAACAGAAGUCGC
Molecule: long non-coding RNA, 467 nt
Filed under: Vitis vinifera (wine grape)
Lineage: Eukaryota; Viridiplantae; Streptophyta; Magnoliopsida; Vitales; Vitaceae
Description: long non-coding RNA (VVIN_LNC005156)
Source: RNAcentral